RNAcentral lists this ribosomal RNA (492 nucleotides) under uncultured bacterium. RNAcentral's name for it is "partial 16S ribosomal RNA". It matches the Rfam family "Bacterial small subunit ribosomal RNA", at positions 30 to 507 of the family's 1533-position model. The record is from RNAcentral.
AUUGAACGCUGGCGGCAUGCCUAACACAUGCAAGUCGAACGGUAACGCGCCUUGAGGUUGCGACUACGGGCGGACGGGGGCGUAAGACAGCGGAACGUACCCGAUCGUACUUUAUAACGGGGCGUAACGUUUGCUAAUAUACCAUACUAUCGACUACUACCAACAGGUGACCGCAGGGCAUCUUCCGGCCUUGGCCGCCGGUAUGAGCUGAUGUCGGAUUUGCUAGUUGGCGGGGUAAAGGCGUACCAAGGCGACGAUCCGUAGCUGGUCUGAGAGGAUGAUCAGCCACACUGGAACUGAGACACGGCCCAGACUCCUACGGGAGGCAGCAGUGGGGAAUUUUGGACAAUGGGCGCAAGCCUGAUCCAGCCAUGCCGCGUGAGGGAUGAAGGCCUUCGGGUUGUAAAGUGCUUUUGUUCGGAACGAAAAGCAGUAUUUUAAUACAGGACGGUCAUGACGGUACCGAAAGAAUAAGCACCGGCUAACUACGUG